UGGGGAAUAUUGCACAAUGGGCGCAAGCCUGAUGCAGCCAUGCCGCGUGUAUGAAGAAGGCCUUCGGGUUGUAAAGUACUUUCAGCGGGGAGGAAGGCGAUAAGGUUAAUAACCUUGUCGAUUGACGUUACCCGCAGAAGAAGCACCGGCUAACUCCGUGCCAGCAGCCGCGGUAAUACGGAGGGUGCAAGCGUUAAUCGGAAUUACUGGGCGUAAAGCGCACGCAGGCGGUCUGUCAAGUCGGAUGUGAAAUCCCCGGACUCAACCUGGGAACUGCAUUCGAAACUGGCAGGCUAGAGUCUUGUAGAGGGGGGUAAAAUUCCAGGUGUAGCGGUGAAAUGCGUAGAGAUCUGGAGGAAUACCGGUGGCGAAGGCGGCCCCCUGGACAAAGACUGACGCUCAGGUGCGAAAGCGUGGGGAGCAAACA
Molecule: ribosomal RNA, 427 nt
Filed under: uncultured bacterium
Lineage: Bacteria
Description: partial 16S ribosomal RNA
Rfam family: Bacterial small subunit ribosomal RNA
Source: RNAcentral